CCAAACCGACACAGGUGGGCAGGAUGAAAAUUCUAAGGCGCUUGAGAGAACUCAGGAGAAGGAACUCGGCAAAUUAACACCGUAACUUCGGGAGAAGGUGUGCCCCGGUAGCGUGUAGAGACUUGCUCUCGAAGCGCGAUGGGGUUGCAGUGAAAUGGUGGCUGCGACUGUUUAAUAAAAACACAGCACUCUGCAAACACGAAAGUGGACGUAUAGGGUGUGACGCCUGCCCGGUGCCGGAAGGUUAAGUGAUGGGGUGCAAGCUCUUGAUCGAAGCCCCGGUAAACGGCGGCCGUAACAAUAACGGUCCUAAGGUAGCGAAAUUCCUUGUCGGGUAAGUUCCGACCUGCACGAAUGGCGUAACGAUGGCCACACUGUCUCCUCCUGGGACUCAGCGAAGUUGAAAUGUUUGUGAAGAUGCAAUCUACCCGCGGCUAGACGGAAAGACCCCAUGAACCUUUACUGUAGCUUUGCAUUGGACUUUGAACCGGUUUGUGUAGGAUAGGUGGGAGACUGUGAAGCCGGGACGCUAGUUUCGGUGGAGUCAACCUUGAAAUACCACCCUGAUUUGUUUGAGGUUCUAACCUUGGUCCGUGAAUCCGGAUCGGGGACCGUGCAUGGUAGGCAGUUUGACUGGGGCGGUCUCCUCCCAAAAGGUAACGGAGGAGUACGAAGGUACGCUUAGGGCGGUCGGACAUCGCCCACAAAGUGCAAUGGCAAAAGCGUGCUUGACUGCGAGACCCACAAGUCGAGCAGGUACGAAAGUAGGUCAUAGUGAUCCGGUGGUUCUGUAUGGAAGGGCCAUCGCUCAACGGAUAAAAGGUACUCUGGGGAUAACAGGCUAAUUCCUCCCAAGAGUUCAUAUCGACGGGGGAGUUUGGCACCUCGAUGUCGGCUCAUCACAUCCUGGGGCUGUAGUCGGUCCCAAGGGUAUGGCUGUUCGCCAUUUAAAGUGGUACGCGAGCUGGGUUUAAAACGUCGUGAGACAGUUUGGUCCCUAUCUGCCGUGGGCGCUGGAAAUUUGAAGGGGGCUGCUCCUAGUACGAGAGGACCGGAGUGGACGAACCUCUGGUGUACCGGUUAUGACGCCAGUCGUAUCGCCGGGUAGCUAAGUUCGGAAGAGAUAAACGCUGAAAGCAUCUAAGCGUGAAACUCGCCUUAAGAUAAGAUUUCCCGGAGUCUUGAACUCCCUGAAGGGUCGUCGAAGACCACGACGUUGAUAGGUCAGGUGUGGAAGCGCAGCAAUGCGUUAAGCCAACUGAUACUAAUUGCCCGUGCGGCUUGAUCCC
RNAcentral lists this ribosomal RNA (1289 nucleotides) under metagenome. RNAcentral describes it as "bacterial LSU rRNA". It matches the Rfam family "Bacterial large subunit ribosomal RNA", at positions 1649 to 2925 of the family's 2925-position model. The record is from RNAcentral.